Molecule: long non-coding RNA, 5118 nt
Organism: Triticum aestivum (bread wheat)
Lineage: Eukaryota; Viridiplantae; Streptophyta; Magnoliopsida; Poales; Poaceae
Exons: 2
Source: RefSeq, a predicted model, not a curated record
CCUUGGAUCAGUUUCCAUCAUCUGAUGUUUCUGUACUAAUGUUGGUCAAAUUGUACUGUAUGUUCCAGUGGAUAGGGUUUGGCCGGUUUGUACUAUUGAGAAGAGCAGGGCAGAUUUAGCACGGCUAAUUAGUUUCAAAAAAUGCCUUCUUAUGCAACAGAAAAUGCCUUCUUGUGCAACACAAAUUCUUUACUAAUCUCUUAAGAACAAAAUUCUCUUAGGGUAGUCUGUGUUUUACCCGCAAAAGAAAAAGUGUGUUCUGUAAGAGGCGAACCCUAUGGUAACUGUCUGUAAAGGGCCAGCAUCGUUUGAACAGAUAAAAUGGUGUAACCCUGCAUAACUCGUUAUAAAACGACAUUUCUAACAUUUCCAGGUGUCAUGUUCACAUCCACUGGAUGGUUGUACAAAUUUGAGCAUCCCCUCUGCAUUUAAUGUUAGUAAUUGGAUGGCUGUACACAUUUGUUCAGGGUUUUAUGUCUUGGUCUCAGAAUUAAGUUAAUACAGUGCAAUACAAUGCAACAUUGAGGGCGUAGGGUAAUGGCACUUACAUGCAGUUGUGUCGUAGAUGUACUGAAAUAAGGGCAUAUGUAUGCUGUAGGUAUACUGAACCAAUAAUUUCACCUUAAUAUUAUGGACUAGAUGAAUGGCAGCAGCUGUUUGGGGUUGGUAGUUUGUGCAUUUUUUAAUAUGCAAGCAUGAUUGGUUAGUGUUCAAGAACGCUCUUAUAUUAUGGGACGGAGGACACUACACUAGUGUCAAGAACGCUCUUAUAUUAUGGGACGGAGGGAGUAGUUGUCAGAUCUUCUUUUCGUUCAGUACUCGUUGAGGCUGUCAUAAUUUUCUUUUACUCCAAAUUCUGCUUGGAUUUUCUAAUUAUGCAUUUACCCAGAUUAAUGCUUAAAACUAAAUUUGGUCAUUGGAUCUUUUUUGUUUAGGCGAAUUUUAUGUCUGUACAUGCUUGAUAUGAAAGGAGGGGUUUAUCUCUACUACUAUUAAACAAGCAAACAUCUUCUUUCUUAGAGACACCCCGUUAAAUGUACACCGGUUGAUUAGUACCGUCUGAUUAUCCCACCAAAUUAGAUCUAACAGCCUAGAUUAGUAUGAGGUUACAAUUAGCAAUUACAGUCCGCCCGACGUAUACUCUGCCAAAGAUUCGUCCGCCUAAUACGUGUUCCAUGAAAGCGUAAUCAGCUCCUAUCCCAGCGAUUGUAAAGACCACAGACCGCUCCUCCCUAUUCCAUGUCCAUCGUACCCUAGGGCUGGAUCCAGGGUUAUUAGAUCGCCGCCGCCGCCAGCAUACGGCUGCAGAUGAAGGCCACAACUCUUCUCUCCGGCUAUCCCCGACGCCAACCCACCACGCCAUGUCCGCCGGACCGACGACGGCCAGGACAACGUCCGGCGUCCAGCGCUGGAACGAGGAGCUCGACCAGGCUGAGCUGGGCGUCCAACCGGACAAGGCAGCAGUCCACGCCGGCGAGUGCGUGCAUGGCCCACCCCUCCGCCCACGGCGAUGGGGCUCCCGGCUGCGCAGCCGCAGCGUGGAGCAUCCGCGCGUAUGUGUAUGCGUCAGCGGCCACCCUACACGCUGCAUCUUCAUGAAUAAGGACAGACCCAGUGCAUAGAAGCUCCCACACAAGGUGGGGUCUGGGGAGGGAUUAUAGGAACCUAGUCUUACCCCUGCAAAGUGCAAUGCAGAGAGGCUGGUUCGAACCCAGGACCUCUUGGCACAAGUGGGGAGGACUUCACCACUGCGCCAGGCCUGCCCUCUACGCUGCAUCUUCAUGAAUACGCCUAUUAAAUCCAGACUUGCAGCAAGGCGUCGCCGCGGACUUUACUGACCCAACGCUGCCGUGAUGGCCGCCACACUCCUCACGCGGACACCAUGGCCUGGACGCAGCAGCGUGACACCACAUCACUACGCCUACACUGAAUUCAGCAAAGGAACUCCGGCCCAUCCAACUUUCAGGUUUGGAACAUAUUCCUUUGUCUUUCACAAAUAACAUGACAGAGUCCUAUGCUUUUAGUUCUUAUUAGGUUGUGUUUCACAAAUAACAUGACAGAAAAUCCUAUGCUGAACUGGAAUAAAUUAUUCAGAUUCUAUUGUGGUAAAGACACGAUAUCUUCCUUUUGGCAAGCGACACCAUCUGGAAGUCUUUGUAAUGAAGACUAAGUAAUGAUCGUACUACUUAACAAUGUAAAAAGAAAUUAAUGAUCAUGCUCAACUGAAUUUUCUCUGAUGUGAGCUGAUGUUGGACUCAUAAUAUGUGAGUGCAAAACCCCGACGUGGAUCUGAAAACUGGUACGAAAUGCACAAGACACUGAAACUUCCUCCUGAUUCAGUGCAGCCAUACAUCCUUCAGCCUUCUACACCACGCCGGCAAGCCGGAAAGUGCUACAACAGUGGCAGCGCUCUCCCAGGCACUUGGGCUGCCCACAACUCCUACAAAAUAAAUUGGCACAAGCUUACUCACAUAGAUUUGCAGAUCGGCGCGUGUUAAAAAUAUGUACAUGCAGAUGGAUCAUUCGCAGAUCAUCUUUAUCGGGAAGGACUACUUCUCAAGCGACUACUGCCUUUAUCAAGUAAAGGAUCUCUGUCAGCAGUACAUUCUUUGAACUUUAUUAGUUAUAUCAUCUCACUCUAUCUAUGUUGUAUUGUUUGUACAUAAUGAGUAUUGCUGCUCAAUGCAACCACUAGAAUGCAAUGAUUAGUAACUCUUCUUGCACUGUUGCAUCUAUAUGAUUGACCUUGUAUAUUCCGGGUUGACAUGCCAUUAUAUUUGACUGUACUGACAUUGAUGAUAUGCAUUUGAUGACAAUAGCAAAAUUAUAACCUAUUGGCAUGUAACAUUCUUUGAAAUGAUACGACUAUGUUUUUUUUUCUUUUACAACUUGCUUACAGAUAUACUCCCCCUGUCCCUAAAUAUGUCUUUUUAGAGAUGUCAAUAUGAACUACAUACGGAUUUAUAUAGAUGUAUUUUAGAGUGUAGAUUCACUCAUUUUGCUCUGUAUAUAGUCCAUAUUGGAAUCUUUAAAAAGACUUGCAUUUAGGAACGGAGGAAGUACAUGUUUUCUGCUUAUGAUAAUUUGCCAUAUUGGAAUCUUUUAGAGUGUAGUGAAUUAACCAGAAAACUGAACGUGCCCAAGUAAAAAAUAAUAUGAGAAGAAAAUUUAGGCUAGAAUCAUCGUAGCCAUGAAUCUCACACUAUAGCUCUGCUGGAUAUAUUGCCGACACCCUCACCACUUCGCCCACCCGCUGGAUAUAUUGCUACUCCUCUACGGAUGUCUUUCUUCUUUGCAGCUCUGUGUGCCAUGUCGGCGGCCAGGUUGACCGGUGGUGCCCAUGUCAUAUGGGUUGGGAUGUAUCGGUUUUAGCCCAGUUUUCCGUCAAUUAACCGUGCAAUUCUCUUCUUAAUCAAUGAAAAUGGCAAGUCUUUUGCCUUGUUUCAAAUGUUUUUUUACUCAGCCAUCAAAAAUGCCAAGCCUCAGAUCUGCAUUCAAAUUGCUAGGAAGCUUCUCCUAAUUUCUGACCACUCCUAAUUGGACCCAUACAACAAGUAUUAUAGUUCUUUCAUACAAGUUGAGUAUGAACAUACUGAUUUUGUACUAAUGGAGAUUGCCCUCAGCCAGUGAAAUAUCCAAUUUCUGGAUCACCUCAUUUUCCAAUUCUAAUCUAUCUAUAAUCUUUUUUGAGAUAUUAAGAUUGUAUCCAUGACAUGGGAAAUGUAAGUAGCAUGUUGUGACAUGCAUGGAUUUGCUUUUUCUAUCAAUGUUGAUGCUCCAACAUCUGAUCAAUGGUCCUUAUUCUAGAUUCUGUACUAUCAUUGUACAUAUUUGUUCCGUUAUAUAGUCAUUGUUGUUGUAAAUUGUUUAUCAUAAUACUGAUGAGGAAGAAUAAUCUAGAUGUAGUUCCGACAACGUCAAUGGAUCCUUCCCAGCUGCAUGGCUUGGCCGAAGUUGGGCGAAAGAGUUCAUGGGGCCAGAGAAAUAUGAGUUGGACGUCCGAUGCUUUCAGGCGACAUUUGUUGUAGCCCCACAAGCUUAAAAUGAGAGUACAGUUGUGCCAAACAUUGUUACAUAUUUUGAUUUCUUUGUUGGUUCCUUUCAUGGCUAAAACAAUGGUAUGCCCCUUGCAACAUUUUUUUCGAUAUAUUUCUGUGCACUAUGCUAUUUCCGGAAAAGUCUUUAUAUACAUACUUGUGCUUUCACUUCAAAACUUGGAGAGGCAAUUUGAGUUGGUGUUGUGCAUCAAUAUUACGUAUUGUUGCUCAAUGGUUUCUUCAUAAUUGUUCCUUCUAUUUUCUGAAUUUUCCAGCAUAUGAACUAUCACAUGAAUUUCAUGUGCAUUGGUUGAGACGUGCGUUGCACGUGCAUAUUUACUAGUCUAAUGAACUACACAUAUGGUUUCACAUUCCACCUCUGUGCUCGCAAUUUAAAUGCAGUAUAUUUUACUCACUAAUACAUCUUGAACAAUCUAAAAAAUAUAUAGCUUGGUUUAUCUUUGUAACUCCUUAUCUGAGUUUUCCAUUUUCCACAUUGUUGUGUCUAUUUUCUCAGUUUGGUCCUGUGUAAAUACUUGUCUUAGGGGUCUCUGUAUUGCAUAUACAUGGAAUCUUCAAGUUGUCUCAAAUGCUCAGUGGUAAAAACCAGCCAUGCUGGCGGUUCUUAUCAGUGUGAUGGUAUGCUAACUGUCUCUGAUAUAAUUCUGCUCUAAAAGCCCUACACUAUUUUUGUCUUGUGGAUACGUCGUGCAGACAAACGCUGAGUUAAAAGGUCAUAACUUUACACUAAUUUAAGAUUGUCUUGAUCUCAAGUGCUGGCUCCUACAACAUUGCAUUUCACCAAGUGAAAUGCUACAUUUCUACUCCUAACCCAUUCUCUCUUUGUUAGUGUUUUUAUUAUGCAGGUUGGAAGAAAAGAAGAUCCAGAGAAGAUCUUAGUAAUAAGAUAGUUUUUAGGAAAAUAGAUAUUUAGUUUUAGGUCAUUUCUUGUAAUUUCAGAUAUGGAGUGAUUUUCUUUAAUUUUUGUUUUGACUUUGUGAAACUUGCUACCUAUGGAUGAAACUGUGUAAUAUUGAUGAAACUAUGUAUAUGUAUGGAUGCAACUUGCUACUAUUGGUAA